ACGACUCUCGGCAACGGAUAUCUCGGCUCUCGCAUCGAUGAAGAACGUAGCGAAAUGCGAUACUUGGUGUGAAUUGCAGAAUCCCGUGAACCAUCGAGUCUUUGAACGCAAGUUGCGCCCGAAUCCGUCAGGCCAAGGGCACGUCUGCCUGGGUGUCACGCA
Molecule: ribosomal RNA, 162 nt
Filed under: Reseda arabica
Lineage: Eukaryota; Viridiplantae; Streptophyta; Magnoliopsida; Brassicales; Resedaceae
Description: 5.8S ribosomal RNA
Rfam family: 5.8S ribosomal RNA
About the family: 5.8S ribosomal RNA (5.8S rRNA) is a component of the large subunit of the eukaryotic ribosome. It is transcribed by RNA polymerase I as part of the 45S precursor that also contains 18S and 28S rRNA.
Source: RNAcentral